This 6519-nucleotide long non-coding RNA is filed under the name Nicotiana benthamiana. Its description in RNAcentral is "long non-coding RNA (NBEN_LNC003265)". The stretch from base 6238 to 6519 matches the Rfam family "Eukaryotic small subunit ribosomal RNA", at positions 1 to 469 of the family's 1831-position model. Lineage: Eukaryota; Viridiplantae; Streptophyta; Magnoliopsida; Solanales; Solanaceae. The record is from RNAcentral.
GUACAACAAACCCCGACUUCUGGAAGGGAUGCAUUUAUUAGAUAAAAGGUCGACGCGAGCUCUGCCCGUUGCUUCUAAUACGUGCAACAAACCCCGACUUCUGGAAAGGAUGCAUUUAUUAGAUAAAAGGUUGACGCGGGCUCUUCCUGUUGCUGCGAUGAUUCAUGAUAACUCGACGGAUCGCACGGCCAUCGUGCCGGCGACGCAUCAUUCAAAUUUCUGCCCUAUCAACUUUCGAUGGUAGGAUAGAGGCCUACUGCUAUGACCCCAAAUAUUUACUUGACAUGGCUUCGUGGAAGCGUUGACAAGCAAUUUACAAGGCUGGGUGUGUGUCUUAGUUGGUGAUGGGCUUAAGCAAGGCAGCUAGACAAGGCAGCUGGAGUGUUGGCAAGGCGGCCUUGGUUUGUGGGCAUCGGCUAUGGCAAAUGGAAGCAUGGCACUUGACAAAGGCAUGCGCGGUCGCUGGGACGACUUGACUUAUAGCAGGGCGUGGAUAUGAAAAUAAGGGCGAGGCAAGGUCCAAGGAAAAGCUGGGCUGGAGCAUGCGCGGAUCGGUGGGACGACUUAAUUUAUUGCAGGGCGUGGCUAUGAAAUUAAGGGCGAGGCUAGGUCCAAGGCAAACUUGGGCAAAGGCAUACGUGGAUCGAUGGGACGACUUAAUUCAUAUGAGGCCGUGGCUAUGGAAUUAAGGGCGAGGCAAGAUCCAAGGCAAAGCUGGGCUGGAGACAAAGAAAACGUGGGCAAGGCUAGAGGCCAUCGUGCAUGGCAUGUGACAAAGUGGUGUCAAGGACAUGUGCUGGAAGUUGAAGACAUGAUCUAAGAACAUGGGCGGUUGGCUACAAAGUGGAAGACAUGGUAGCAACUGCUCGAAACCACCUAAGGCAUGUGCAUGGCACAUGGUAGAAACUGCCCCUUUGUAAUUGUCCCUUUGUAAAUGCCAUUGGCAUCCCCUCUAUAUAGAUUGUAUCUCCGUCUGUGGAGAAGGCAAGUAGCAUUACAUAUGUGAGCAAAGUCUAAAAAGAGUGUCCUUUGUAUAUUUUGCGAGAAUUAAAAAAGGUUGGGUUUUACCCGUAAAUUCUGUGUGUGUUCUUAGUUUGGCAAAAGUCUGAAAAUCCCUAAGUCAGACUGUGUGUGUGCGAAAAGUGAAGGCUGAAGUGGCGGUGAGCUGCUGUCGUGCAGUGUCUAUUUUUGCGAAAAAUUGACCCUGUAACAAUUGGUAUCAGAGCUUUUUGGUUGUAACUCUUGAUCAUGGCGGGUGGGUCUACUUCAAACUUACGUGAUAGAAUGCAACGGUUGGAGGCGCUAAUCAGCGUGACCGAUGAUCCUUUGGAUAUGGCAGAUCUUAUAACAGGCGUGAUAGAGUGCAAUGGUUGGAGGCACUAAUCGGCGUGACCGAUGAUCCUUUGGAUAUGGCAGAUCUUAUUACAGAGAUUUACCGUCUAAAGGAUGGGGCAGAUCAGUUUCGCGAUGGAGUCCAACAAAGUUGUGAAUCAACGGAUGGCGUAGUUGAAGACCUGAAGAAGGAGGUUGACAACAUGAAGGCCGAAAUCACUGUUCUUCGACGGGCGUUGGCAGCUCCAAGCCAAGGCAAUGAAGAAUGCUCGAAGGUAAAGAUUCCUGAUCCAAAGGCGUUUGGUGGAACGCGUAGUGCAAAAGAAUUGGAGAAUUUACUGUGGGAGAUGGAACCUUUUUUUUGGUUGCCAAAGUUCCAAAUGCUGAGAAGGUCACAAUUACUAGCAUGUAUCUAAUUGGAGAUGCUAAAUUGUGGUGGAGAACUCGUAGGGUGGAGGAUGAAAGUGCGGGCAGACCGAAAAUUGAUACAUGGGAGAAACUCAGAAAAGAAAUGAAGGACCAAUUCUUGCCUAGCAAUGCAUCUUGGAUUGCUCGAGACCAUUGUGGAGAACUCGUAGGGUGGACGAUGAAAGUGCGGGCAGACCGAAAAUUGAUACAUGGGAGAAGCUCAGUAAAGAAAUGAAGGACCAAUUUUUGCCUAGCAAUGCAUCUUGGCUUGCUAGAGACCAUUUGAAACGCUUGCGACAAACGGGAUCUAUGGGAGAAGCUCAGAAAAGAAAUGAAGGACCAAUUCUUGCAUACAAUGCAUCUUGGCUUGCUAGAGACCAUUUGAAACGCUUGCGUCAAACGGGAUCUAUUCGAGAUUAUUUUAAGGAAUUCUCUUCCUUAAUGUUGGAUGUUCAAAACGUGUCAAAGGACGACAAAUUGCAUAACUUUAUUUCUGGAGUGCAAGCAUGGGCGCAGAAUGAACUUAGGAGAAAGACUGUGAAGGACCUCCCAAGUGCAAUGGCUGCAGCGGAUUCACUGGUGGAUUAUCGCAGCACCCGUACUCUUUCGGAUAUUCGUCCUACUUCAAAACCUAACAAACGGGUGGAGAAGAAAGGGGAAUGGAUUAAGGAAGUUCGAGAGAAAGUUGUUGAGAAGGGCAAGGUUGUCGAUGGGGCUGUUCAAAACAAAGGCGUCGCAAACAGGAAAACUUAUGGUUGCUGGACGUGCGGAGGACCUCAUCUUGCCAGAGACAGUCCAAAUCGGGAGCGGGUAAAUGCUUUGCUUGCAAGAGAAAAUAAUCGGGAUGGAGAAGGUGAAGAAAGUGUUGCUGCCUUGGUAAAUACUUUGCAAUUGUUGAAUGUUAUCUCGUUAAAUACUACAAGUAACGAGACGAACCCUUAUUCUUUGCUGAUGCACAUUGAAAUGAGAAUUGGGGACAGAAGUGUGAUAGCAAUGGUAGAUACUGGCGCUACUCACGCCCUUAUUUCUGCCAGUUUGGUGCAUAAGUAUCGAUUGAGAGUGUCGAAAUGUCCCCUUCAUAAAGACUGUGAACACCAAAGCACAAGCCAUUGUGGGUAUGGCUUAUGAUGUUCCUAUGUCUGUUGGGAAGUGGAAACGGAAGGUCAAUUUGAUGGUGAUUCCACAAGCCAUUGUGGGUAUGGCUUAUGAUGUUCAUAUGUCUGUUGGGAAGUGGAAAGGGAAGGUCAAUUUGAUGGUGUUUCCAAUGGAAGAGUUUGAGGUGAUCCUCGGAAUUGACUUCAUGCGGAAACAUCACUUUGUUCNNNNNNNNNNNNNNNNNNNNNNNNNNNNNNNNNNNNNNNNNNNNNNNNNNNNNNNNNNNGGUAGUUCACUUUAUUCCAAUGCCUCAUUUGAACGAAGUGAUGAUCACGAAUGAUAUGUCUCUUGGUUUCGUGAAAGCUAUUUAUCCUUAUGGAGGAGAAGAAAUUCAAAGUAAGGCCUCGUUAAAUUCUGCCAUGUUGGUUGGAAAAGGGUUGAAGAAGGGAGGUGAGACUUUCCUUGCUGCUGGGGUUGAAGUGAAGCCUGAUGUUAAGGUUGAAGUGCCGGAUUGCGUUACUCAAAUCUUGAGUGACUUCACGGAGGUGAUGCCACCAGAGUUGCCUAAAACUCUGCCACCACGGAGGGCUAUUGAUCACACGAUAGAGAUGAUACCGGGUUCUAUGCUUCCUGCUCAAUCGCAUAGGGCGUUGAACAAGGUGACGGGGAAAAAUAACUAUCCUGUUCCGUUGGUGCAAGAGUUGGCUGAAUUGUGGGAGAAAUUGAGCAAGGCAUGCUGGUUCAUGAAGCUUGAUAUACGGUCUGGUUAUUGGCAGGUACGGAUAGCUGAAGUUGAUAAGUCUACAACUACUUGUGUUACGAGGUAUGGCUCAUAUGAAUUCCUUGUUAUGCCGUUCGAAUGGAUAGAUACCCCUACUACAUUUUGCAACCUCAUGAAUGACGGGUUGUAUGAGUACAUAGAUUACUUUGUCGUUGUCUACUUAGACGACAUUGUUAUCUAUAGUCAGAAUUUGGAUGAACAUAUGUCACACUUGAUAAAAGUGAUGUCUCGGUUGAGGGAGUACAAGCUAUAUGUUAAAAUAGGGAAGUGUGAAUUUGCUAAAUAGGAGAUCAAAUUUCCUGGGCACUUGGUGAGCCUUGUCUUGGUUGAGGGAGUACAAGCUGUAUGGGAAGUGUGAGUUUUCUAGACAGGAGAUCAAAUUUAAUGGGCACUUGGUGAGCCAGAAUCAGGUGCAGAUGGACCCGAAUAAGGUGCAGGUCAGUGCGGAGUGGCAUGUGCCGAAAGCUGUGAAAGAAUUGAGAUCUUUCCUCGGGUUGGCUAAUUAUUAUCAUAAAUUCAUUGAUGGUUACUCAGAGAAGUUGUUUCUUUGACGGAUGUGUUGAAGAAGAAUGUCAAAGGGAAUUGGUUGGGAAAAUGCUGGUCAGCAUUUGGUGUGUCGAAAGAAGCCAUUGCCUCAUAACCAAUCUUGCGGCUUGUUGAGUUUGAGUUACUGUUUGAAGUGCAUACAGAUACAUCCAACAAGGCUUUUGGAGGCGUGCUGGUUCAAGAAGGUCAUCCUGUGGCCUUUGAAAUAAGAAAGUUGAAUGAAGCAUAACAAAGGUAUUUGGCUCGUGAGGAGGAAGUCUUUGUUGCUGGUUAUUCCCCUACAGGACUUGUGUUAUAUUUUGUUGAUAAAUUCAAGUCUGAUGCUAUGAAUGAUCCAUUGUACAUAAACACAAUGAAUCAUGCGAAGGAAGGUAAUGUGCGACGGUACUAGAUCAAGGGCAACAAGGUAUUGCUGGAUAGAACCUUGGUUGCGAAAUAUAGUGGUCCGUUUGAAGAUCAAAUCGAGGGCUACUUGAGAUUAACCUCAACGAGGGCGUCGAGUUCAAUUGGUGGGGGUGGUUUGUUACUACCCAAAAUAUUGACAUGACGGAUGUCGGGCAGAAUUCAUAUUGAGGGAUUGUGCAUUGCCCCUUGACAUGUCUUCGUUGAAGCAUUAACAAGCAAUGUACAAGGAUGGGUGUGUGUCUAAGUUGGUGAUGGGCUUAGGCAAGGAAGCUGGAGUGUUGGCAAGGCGCCCUUGAUUCGUGGGCAUCGGCUAUGGCAAAUGGAAGCAUGGCACUUGACAAAGGCAUGCGCGGAUCUGUGGGACGACUUAAUUGAUAGCAGGGCGUGGCUAUGAAAUUAAGGGCGAGGCAAGGUCCAAGGCAAAGUGGGGCAAAGGUAUGUGCGGAUCGGUGGGACGAUUUAAUUCAUAGCAGGGCGUGGCUAUGAAAUUAUAGGCGAGGCAAGGUCCAAUACAGCAACUUGAUUCAUAGAAGGGCGUGGCUAUGAAAUUAAGGGCGAGGCAAGGUCCAAGGUAAAGCGGGGCAAAGGCGCAUGCGGAUCUGUGGGAUGACUUAACUCAUAGCAGGGUGUGGCUAUGGAAUUAAGGGCGAGGCAAGGUCCAAGGCAAAGCGGGGCUGGAGACAAAGAAAACGUGGGAAAGGCUAGAGGCCAUCGUGCAUGGCAUGUGACUAAGUGGUGUCAAUGACAUGUGAUGGAAGUUGAAGACAUGAUCUAAGAACAUGGGCGGGUUGGCUACAAAGUGGAAGACGUGGUAGCAACUGCCCGAAACCACCUAAGGCAUGUGCAUGGCACAUGGUAGAAACUGCCCCUUUGUAACUGUCCCUUUGUAACUGCCUUUGGCAGCCCCUUCUAUGGAAUUAAGGGCGAGGCAAGGUCCAAGGCAAAGCGGGGCUGGAGACAAAGAAAACGUGGGCAAGGCUAGAGGCCAUCAUGCAUGGCAAGUGACUAAGUGGUGUCAAGGACAUGUGCUGGAAGCUGAAGACAUGAUCUAAGAACAUGGGCGGGUUGGCUACAAAGUGGAAGACGUGGUAGCAACUGCCCGAAACCACCUAAGGCAUGUGCAUGGCACAUGGUAGAAACUGCCCCUUUGUAACUGUCCCUUUGUAACUGCCUUUGGCAGCCCCUUAAGUGGUGUCAAGGACAUGUGCUGGAAGCUGAAGACAUGAUCUAAGAACAUGGGCGGGUUGGCUACAAAGUGGAAGACGUGGUAGCAACUGCCCGAAACCACCAAAGGAAUGUGCAUGGCACAUGGUAGAAACUGCCCCUUUGUAAUUGUCCCUUUGUAACUGCCAUUGGCAGCCCCUUUAUAUAGAUUGCAUCUCCGUAUAUGGAGAAGGCAAGUAACAUUACAUAUAUGAGCCAAGUCUAAAAAGAGUGUCCUUUGUAUAUUCUGCGAGAAUUAAUAAAGGUUGGGUUUUCGGCCUUCUGCUGGCGAUGCGCUCCUGGCCUUAAUUGGCCGGGUCGUGCUUGCGGCGCAGUUACUUUGAAGAAAUUAAGAGUGCUCAAAGCAAGCCUACGCUCUGUAUACAUUAGCAUGGGAUGACAUACUAGGAUUUCGGUCCUAUUACGUUGGCCUUCGGGAUCGGAGUAAUGAUUAACAAGGACAGUCGGGACCCGUAGAUUCUGUGUGUGUUCUUAGUUUGGCUAAUGUCUACAAAUCCUAAGUCAGACUGUGUGUGUGUGUGCGAAAAGUGAAGGUUGAAGUGGCUGUGAACUGCUGCCGUGCAGUGUUUAUUUUUGCGAAAAAUUGACCCUAUAACACCUACUAUGGUGGUGACAGGUGACGGAGAAUUAGGGUUCGAUUCCGGAGAGGGAGCCUGAGAAACCUGCUACCACAUCCAAGGAAGGCAGCAGGCGCGCAAAUUACCCAAUCCUGACACGGGGAGGUAGUN